UGGRRGGCCCCUAAAAUUAAACAUGUAGUCGAGUAGCAACUAGAGGGCAAGUCUGGUGCCAGCAGCCGCGGUAAUUCCAGCUCUAGUAGCAUGUCGUAAAGUUGUUGCGUUUAAAACGCUCGUAGUUGGAUCAUACAGUGUUCAUUAGUUAGUUUGCGUAUGUAGGCGUGAACACCUAUCUAUAGGUAUGGACUCCAUUAAUUUGGUAUUCGUCUUGUAGCGUAGGAGUCUACUGCGUAGAUUUUGCUAGUGGAUACUACUUGCAUGUAAGAAUGGUGAUUGGCCUUAGGUGAGUCGGUCAUUGUGUCUUACAGGGUGUGCCUUGAAUAAAUCAGAGUGCUCAAAGCAGGCUUGUGCCUGAAUGAUUCAGCAUGGAACGAACAAUCGAGUAACAUGUAUCGUGAAUUGUAUAUUUGUAUGAUUUGCGAAACAUAUCUCCAACCGCCAUGUACGGAUGUUGGUUUCCGUAUUGGGGUGAUGAUUAAAACGAGCGGUUGGGGGCAUUGGUAUUUGGCCGCGAGAGGUGAAAUUCUUAGACCGGCCAAGGACUAACAAAAGCGAAGGCAUUUGCCAAGACCGUCUCGAUUGAUCAAGAACGAUAGUGAGAGGUUCGAAGACGAUCAGAUACCGUCCUAGUUCUCACCGUAAACUAUGCCAACCCGGGAUCAGUUUAGAGCAUUUUUACGCUCCAGUUGGUCCCCCUGGGAAACCUCAGUUUUUGGGUUACGGGGGAGUAUGGUCGCAAGGCUGAAACUUAAAGGAAUUGACGGAAGGGCACCACCAGGGGUGGAGCCUGCGGCUUAAUUUGACUCAACACGGGACAACUCACCCGGUCCUGACGCAAGUGGGAUAGACUGAUUGAUAGCUCAUUCUUGAUUUUGUGUGUGGUGGUGCAUGGCCGUUCUUAGUUCGUGGUGUGAAUUGUCAGAUUUAUUUCGGUAACGAACAAGACCGGAAUCUCCAUUUACGACGUAGUAUAGUCACCCCCGGUGGCUCUAACGGUAGAGUAGAGCGAAAGAUUCGUCCGACUCUCUAUUUUAACGUUAUCCUUUACGAAAUUGUGGGUAGAAAUACUUGCAAUUGCAUGGAGAGACAACCGACUAUAAUUAUAAAAUCGGCGGAAGUCCGGCAAUAACAGGUCUGUUAUGCCCUUAGAUGUUCGGGGCUGCACGCGCGCUACAAUGAUAACGGCAGAAAGAUAUCUUGGUCGACAGACUUGGGAAAUCUAUGAAUCGUUAUCGUGAUGGGGAUUGUCCAUUGUAACUUGGACAUGAAAUAGGAAUCCCUUGUACGUGCACUUCAUUUAAAGUGCGCGGAAUGAGUCCCUGCCCUUUGUACACACCGCCCGUCGCUACUACCGAGUGAAUGGUGUCAUGAUGCGUUGGGACUGGACGCUGGCUAAACUUCGGUCUGGCUGGUGCUAGAAUCAUGUAAAAGCACGGGUGGCAUUGG
This 1452-nucleotide ribosomal RNA is filed under the name Myxobolus sp. m IH-2021. RNAcentral describes it as "SSU rRNA". Lineage: Eukaryota; Metazoa; Cnidaria; Myxozoa; Bivalvulida; Myxobolidae. The record is from RNAcentral.